UACGGAGGGUGCAAGCGUUAUCCGGAUUCACUGGGUUUAAAGGGUGCGUAGGCGGCUAUAUAAGUCAGUGGUGAAAGCCCGCAGCUCAACUGCGGAACUGCCAUUGAAACUGCAUAGCUUGAAUCUGGUUGAAGUGGGCGGAAUACAUCAUGUAGCGGUGAAAUGCUUAGAUAUGAUGUAGAACACCGAUUGCGAAGGCAGCUCACUAAGCCAACAUUGGCGCUGAGGCACGAAAGCGUGGGUAGCGAACAGG
Molecule: ribosomal RNA, 253 nt
Filed under: uncultured bacterium
Lineage: Bacteria
Description: partial 16S ribosomal RNA
Rfam family: Bacterial small subunit ribosomal RNA
Source: RNAcentral